Cydia fagiglandana is the source of this 351-nucleotide long non-coding RNA. RefSeq lists it as uncharacterized. The transcript is spliced from 3 exons. The record is from RefSeq and is a predicted model, not a curated record. NCBI's taxonomy places the organism in Eukaryota, Metazoa, Arthropoda, Insecta, Lepidoptera, Tortricidae.
GCGGGGACGGCGCGCGCGCCCGCCGCCGCCGCCGGCCCGCCGCCGCACUACGUCGGCAUCUGCCUGCCCCGCGACCUGCAGGCGCUGUUCCCGAGUGAAUUACAUGAUGUCGAUGUGGAUGAGAAAGACCCUCUGAAAGUGAACAAAUCCUCGACAUUACUGACCGACACGAGCAUCGCUAGCACUGAAAAGCCACGGUUAAGUAAAUGUCUCGAAGUGGACGUGUCGAGCUCGACCGACGUCAGCUCACGAAUAUCCAGCAGAACGCUAACCGACAAAAACAAAGAAGCUAACCAGAAGGAAAACGAGAAGACCAUCGAACGGCAAAGCAGUGUCGAACGCAGCGUCCAC